Vigna radiata var. radiata (mung bean) is the source of this 2264-nucleotide RNA transcript. It is a transcript of the gene named tRNA wybutosine-synthesizing protein 5, with no coding region annotated. The transcript is spliced from 16 exons. The record is from RefSeq and is a predicted model, not a curated record. Lineage: Eukaryota; Viridiplantae; Streptophyta; Magnoliopsida; Fabales; Fabaceae.
UCAUUGGUCAGAGCAGGUCACACGAUUGCCACUAGCAAGUUCUUUUUUCAGCUUCUGAAACGAGAAAAUUGGUUCGUUUAUUUUUCAAUUCAAUUCUUGCUUGCAGCUUCAAAGAGUAAACUUGAAGAAACAAAUAAUAAACCUUAGAAAAAGAAGAAGAGGUUUCAAAUUGAAUGGAGUCCUCGUCGUCAUCGUCCAUUCGAAUCCGAAUAUUCGAUGAGCUUCCAACGGCCGAAGACUUCGACUCUGUGAUAGAGCUUUCAAACGUUCCCGCUGUUUUUCGCGGGUGCACCAAAAGUUGGAAGGCAUUCUCGCACUGGAAUCCAUCCAAUGGUGGCCUCGACUACUUGCAGGCACGCGUGGGUUCUUGCACGGUGGAGGCCAUGGUAUCUCAAUCUGCACCUGUUUUUUAUGGUGAUCUUGGAAGCCAUCAGAGGGUUCCUCUUCCAUUUUCUAACUUCCUUGACUUUUGCAAGAAGGCGACGCAGAUGCAAAGUAAGCGCCACCAUCAGGGUCUUGAUCAUUGUGCUGCCUCACAAACUGACAAUGAUACAAAACAUGCUUGUUUAUCCUUGGAAGAUGCUCCCGAACAAAUUUAUUUAGCACAGGUACCAAUAAUGAACAGUGAUCGUCAGGAAACCGUUCAGUUAGAAAUCCUAAAGGAAGACAUUCAGACGCCUUCGAUUUUGGCAUUAAAAGAGUUAUCUUCUAUAAAUUUGUGGAUGAACAAUGCCGAAGCCAGAUCAAGUACUCACUAUGAUCCACACCAUAAUCUUCUUUGUAUAGUUUCUGGCUGCAAACGAGUUGUUUUGUGGCCUCCUUCUGCCAGUCCCUCACUCUACCCAAUGCCCAUAUACGGGGAGGCUUCUAAUCACAGUUCUGUAUCUUUAGAAAAUCCUGACUACUCAAUAUAUCCAAGGGCAGAAUGCUCAAUGGAGUUUGCUCAAAAGGUUGUUCUUCAGGCCGGGGAUGCACUUUUCAUUCCUGAAGGCUGGUUUCAUCAGGUAGAUAGUGAUGAUUUGACCAUUGCAGUCAACUUUUGGUGGAGAUCUAACAUGAUGUCUUGCAUGUUGGAACACAUGGAUGCUUAUUAUUUACGCAGAAUAUUGAGAAGAUUGAUUGACAAAGAAAUGGACCAACUACUGCUUAAAUUGGGGUUGAAAACUACGAUGCGGGUAUGCGAGUUGCCUAAUAAUGGACAAGCAGAUCAUGCCGAUGUAAAUUGUGAUGGUAAGUUGUUGAAACGGAUGGAUCUAAAAGAGAAAAGAGUUAAAGAGAGGAACACUUUGCAAGAAUUGGAACCGGCUGCAGUUCAGGUGCUUCAUGAACUUGUGUCUUUAGUUCACAACAGUGUCAAUGCCAACCAGGAUCGGCAAUCACUGUCAACUUCUACUAAUGGUUAUGAACUUGUAGUGAAUGAUAAAUUUGAGAAAAUAGUGAGUGCUGACUUUAAAGAUGAUCCAGUUGCUAAAUUUCUCUGGGACAUCAAUCCACAAACUCUCCAAGAUGUCUUUCUUGCUAUGGCGCACAACUUCCCAAGAACUUUAGAGGCUCUUGUGCUGCAUGUACUUUCACCAGUUGGAGCUGAAGUCCUUACUCGGAAAUUUGACGAGAUGGAUCAACAUACUCUUGAGGAAGAUCGGAAUGGAUUCUAUGAGGCUUUCUACAGUGCAUUUGAUGACCAAUCUGCAGCAAUGAAUUCAAUUCUAAAAGGGAAGGAGUUGUUCACUCAACAGGAUCAACAUGCGUUGAUAUGUCAAAUCUAUUUUAUUGUUGCAAUCUAAGGCCAGACUUGUGACUUAUCUUGGAUGGAUGAAUGCUAGGAUCACGUAGAGGCGUUUAAAAACGUAUUGGAUAAAUUUGUGGGAGUGAAUCUGGAAAGCUGAAAGCUGAGUGUUAGAAGAGAUUCAAAAAGGAGUAAACUUCAUGGACGAAUUGACCCACCAGUACCUCCAAAAAGUAAAUUGAUGCUUGAAGCAUUUCUUCGUCUGGGUCCCUAGAUGCCAAGUGAAGUGAAACAUAUGAAUGAAUUGGCCCACAAACUGAUGCAUAUAGGAGACUGAAGCUUUUCGUCUGGGCCUGUACUUUUGUUUGUCGUUUAUAGUUCAGUAGACCAUCAUCACUAAUUUGAACUGUAUUCAUAUUUGUACAAGUUACAACAGUUAUGUAUAUACGUUGAAUUAACAUGCCAAAGUUCUUUGUCCCCGUCAUUCACGUUUUUUCCUUAAAUGAAAAAACUCAGUUUGGACGCUGGAUUAGGCAAA